GAUGAACGCUGGCGGCGUGCCUAAUACAUGCAAGUCGAGCGAACAGAUGAGGAGCUUGCUCCUCUGACGUUAGCGGCGGACGGGUGAGUAACACGUGGAUAACCUACCUAUAAGACUGGGAUAACUUCGGGAAACCGGAGCUAAUACCGGAUAAUAUAUUGAACCGCAUGGUUCAAUAGUGAAAGACGGUUUUGCUGUCACUUAUAGAUGGAUCCGCGCCGCAUUAGCUAGUUGGUAAGGUAACGGCUUACCAAGGCAACGAUGCGUAGCCGACCUGAGAGGGUGAUCGGCCACACUGGAACUGAGACACGGUCCAGACUCCUACGGGAGGAAGCAGUAGGGAAUCUUCCGCAAUGGGCGAAAGCCUGACGGAGCAACGCCGCGUGAGUGAUGAAGGUCUUCGGAUCGUAAAACUCUGUUAUUAGGGAAGAACAAAUGUGUAAGUAACUAUGCACGUCUUGACGGUACCUAAUCAGAAAGCCACAGCUAACUACGUG
RNAcentral lists this ribosomal RNA (497 nucleotides) under uncultured bacterium. Its description in RNAcentral is "partial 16S ribosomal RNA". It matches the Rfam family "Bacterial small subunit ribosomal RNA", at positions 28 to 507 of the family's 1533-position model. The record is from RNAcentral.